Molecule: long non-coding RNA, 581 nt
Organism: Saccostrea cuccullata (small rock oyster)
Lineage: Eukaryota; Metazoa; Mollusca; Bivalvia; Ostreida; Ostreidae
Exons: 3
Source: RefSeq, a predicted model, not a curated record
CGCAGCCAUGUUGAUGUUGUACGGAAGGAAAGUUCGGAAGAGAGUGUCGUGAAAAGGAGAAUCAUGACUAGAUUUGGAUGGAAUUUCUGUUUUGACAGAAGAUGAAGACAUUUUACGACCAGGUACUGCGUUGCAUGCAGUGGACUGUGCCCGAGACGAUUCCCACAGCGCCGGCGAAUAGUCAGCUUGUAAAAAUGAAAUCGUGCCAGCAAAGUUUGAAGUGUCUAUGGAAAUGAUCAACAUUGAACUUUCUGAACCUUCCUACUUAAAGUGAAUCCGUUCAUGACAUGACCAGUUAUUUGGCUACCCUCCAACAUAACACCAUUGUUUAUUUAUUCAUUAUUGUGAAUUUCAUGGGAUAUCAGUGAGGAAGUGAUUCAAGCAGACACUUGAGAAAUUUCGGAUCUAACUUAAUUAGGAUCUUUGGAAUAUUCGGGGAAAAUAGCAUGUGUUGAUUUCAUGGGAUCUUUUUAUUAGUAUAGUUGUGUAGUGGAUAUUUUGUACUUAAUACAUGUGUUUGUCACUCUAGUCUAGUCAUUAACUUUGUACGGUAAAUGUACAUGGGCAACUGAAAGUUCAUU